CGCUAACAUUGGGAGUCAAAGACAGACUAUAUGCACUUAGGAAGGGCAGCUUCAGUACUCUCUGUGAAGCCCAGAAAACAACUCUACAUUGGGCUCAUCAAGAAAAUCCUGGGAACUCCAGGAAGGAGAGGAGUCGUGUGAGUCAUCUGCUUUAUUCCAUGUGGAGGACACUUGCGGUGACAUCUGAACUAGUCCUAUUUAAUAUCCGACUCAUCCAAGCUGUAACCGAAAUAAAAGCAUGCAGUGUGACAGCAAUGAGGCACAUCUGCUAGCCAGAACUAGCCAAGCCACUCAUUCA
RNAcentral lists this long non-coding RNA (298 nucleotides) under Monodelphis domestica (gray short-tailed opossum). RNAcentral's name for it is "lncRNA (ENSMODG00000031539.2)". Lineage: Eukaryota; Metazoa; Chordata; Mammalia; Didelphimorphia; Didelphidae. The record is from RNAcentral.